GACGAACGCUGGCGGCGUGCUUAACACAUGCAAGUCGAACGGUAAGGCCCUUCGGGGUACACGAGUGGCGAACGGGUGAGUAACACGUGGGUGAUCUGCCCUGCACUUCGGGAUAAGCCUGGGAAACUGGGUCUAAUACCGGAUAGGACCAUGCGCUUCACGGUGUGGGAUGGGCCCGCGGCCUAUCAGCUUGUUGGUGGGGUGAUGGCCUACCAAGGCGACGACGGGUAGCCGGCCUGAGAGGGUGACCGGCCACACUGGGACUGAGAUACGGCCCAGACUCCUACGGGAGGCAGCAGUGGGGAAUAUUGCACAAUGGGCGCAAGCCUGAUGCAGCGACGCCGCGUGAGGGAUGACGGCCUUCGGGUUGUAAACCUCUUUCAGCACCGACGAAGCGCAAGUGACGGUAGGUGCAGAAGAAGGACCGGCCAACUACGUGCCAGCAGCCGCCGUAA
This 455-nucleotide ribosomal RNA is filed under the name uncultured bacterium. Its description in RNAcentral is "partial 16S ribosomal RNA". It matches the Rfam family "Bacterial small subunit ribosomal RNA", at positions 28 to 523 of the family's 1533-position model. The record is from RNAcentral.